Peromyscus californicus insignis is the source of this 4255-nucleotide long non-coding RNA. RefSeq lists it as uncharacterized. NCBI's taxonomy places the organism in Eukaryota, Metazoa, Chordata, Mammalia, Rodentia, Cricetidae. The record is from RefSeq and is a predicted model, not a curated record. The transcript has 2 exons.
GGCCCACCCUGUGGACGGUGGCCCGGUGGGGCCCAUCUGCACUUGCUCUGCGAAGGACGCCAAGAGUGGGGAAGUGACUACAUCCUGCAGAGCAAGGCCCUUCUUUUAAAAAUAUGGCCUGUGAAAUAACUACACGAAAUGUUUCAAAGAAAUAUCUACUCCUGUCUCCAAGAUUGUAACAACUGUCUCCAUCUUCCUCUAGUCUCUUCAAGGAUGUGCAUACAGUAAUUAUCCAAUCAUAGGACUAACAAAGUAGUAGUUGGGGCUCGGAGAAGAAGAAAGAUGCCUAUUUGGGCUAUGUUAACAUACAGAGGCUAUUGGAGACAAAGGGAGGUCGCGUUGAAUGUGAAUAAAGAAGCCGUGCGUGGUGGCACACGCCUUUAAUCCCCAAGCUUGGGAUGCAGAAGCAGUCAGCUCUCUUGAGUUUGAGACCACCCUGGUCUACAAAGCAAGCUCCAGGACAGCCAGGGCGACACAGAGAAAGGCUGUUUUGAAACCAUCCCCGGCAAAAGGAAUGUUACUAAAGAGAAUUUAGCGCCAAGCUAAGAAGUCAAUAAGAGAAUAUGGAUCCUACAAAGGAGAUUGAGAAGAGGUAGCAGUGAAACCGGCUAAAAGCCCAAAGAGAAAGAGCCCCUGAAAAGCACGGCAAUUUCAGAAGCAAGGCACGAUGAAGCCGUGUCAGAGACUUUAAGACAAUGUCUGAGAACCGGUGGGCUUUGCAAGACCCAAAGAUGCAUGGUAUAAAAGAAAGGCCCAAGACAGUUACUGGCAAGCAGUGUUGUAGGUGUUCAUAUGGUAAAGUAGAAACGAUCAGUAUUAUCCAUUUCUCAGAUAGAAAAACUGGGGUAUGUGUAAGCAUUGCAGCUCGGAUGGAAAGGGAUCCUGGCAGUCGGGAGCCAAGAGCUACCACAAAGUCACUGUAAGGGUAGCAGCUUAACAGCCCUGCUGGAGAUCCCAAUAUAAGGCUCUAUGGGAAAAGGCACUUGCCAACAAUCCUGAGGACAUGAGUUCGGACCCCAGGACCCACAUUGUAGAAAAUGAGAAUCAACUCCUGCAAGUUGUCCACUGAUCUCCACAUACAAGUCUCUCCCUCUCCAUCUCCUUCUCCCUUACCUCACCUUUCCCUGUCUCUUACCCCACCCACAUCUCUCCAUAUAAUUUUUAAAAAAUUUAAGAAAAGAUUUUUCCAGAAGCAAAGAACGUGAAAUUCUAAACUGGAAGGACUUGGGAAACCAAACUGGUCUCAUCUUAAAAUGGUCUAAGAUCUUGAAUCAACAUUUUCCCAAAGAACAUGGUCACCAAGCACAUGAGAAGAUCAUUGAUUAUCAGAGAAAUGCAAAGGAAAACCUCAGUGUCAUCUCACAUCUGCUUGGGUGCUUAUUAUUGGGAAAUAUGAAACACAUAUUGGCAAGGAUGUGCAAAAUAAGGAAGCCUUGCACACUGCUGGUAGGAAUGUGAAUUUGUACGCCUCUGUGGAAAACAGUGUGGAAAGAAGAAAAACACAGUAUAGAGGUUCCUCAAAAAAAGUUAAAAAUAGAACGAUCAUAUGCUCUACCGAUCCCAUCUGGACAGCUAUGAGAAAGAACUGAAUUCAGGCUAUCAAAGAGAUUGCCAGCAGUCCUGUGUUCGCCGCAAAUUAUCCACAAUAGGCAGAAUACCGAAGUAAUCUAAAUACCCCUUGUCAAAUGAGUGGCGACAGGAAAUGUGUAUAUACAUUGAGAGUGAUAGUUAGUUAACCUUUAACAAGAAGCAUGCUGGGCAGUGGUGGCACACACCUUUAAUCCUAGCACUCGGGAGGCAGAGGCAGGUGGAUCUCUGAGUUUGAGGCCAGCCUGGUCUACAGAGCGAGUUCUAGGACAGCCGGGGCUACAUAGAGAAACCGUGUCUCGAAAACAACAACAACAACAAACAAACAAACAAACAAAGCAAAACAAAGCGAAAAGAAGUGUAUGCUGUCUGCCCCAACAUGGAUGAACCUGGAGGGCACUGUACCAAGUGUGGCUGUCAAUCACAGAACAAGCACCGCCUGGUUUAACUUGUAUGACAUCUAAAAUAGUCUGCUGUGUAGAAGCUGAGUCGGAUGGUGGUUAGGUGAGGGGAGGGAAAUGGAAUAAAAGAAAAUAGGGGCUGGAGAGAUGACUUAACAACUCCAACCACCCGAAGAGCAAUGGCUGCUCUUCCAGAGAACCCAGGUGCAAUUUCUAACACCCACGUGGUGGCUCACAACUCUCCGUAACUCCUCCUCCACGGGAUCAGAUGCCCUCUUCUGGCUUCCAAGGGUACCAGGCACGCAAGUGGUGCAUAGACACACAUGCAGGCAAAACACCUAUGCACAUGGAACAAGUAAAAUGCUUUCAAAAAGCUCCACAAAUGAUGGAGAUAGUGGAUGAAAUCACACUUAAAAUUACAUCGCUGUGAACAAUUCAUAAGAAGAUUCAGAGGGAGAGGACAGAAAAACUACCAGGAAUCAGACGGAAUCUAUCAGAAAGUGAAAGCUAGAAGAUAAUGAAAGCAUUAAAAACCCUAAGGAAAAAUAGAAUUUGAACCCAGAAAACCUAGCUAUCAAGAGUGAGAGUUGGAGCCAGAAGGUGGUCUUUAAUCCCAGCACUUGGGAGGCAGAGCUCUCUGUGAGCUUGAGGCCAGCCUGGUCUACAGAGUGAAUUCCAGGACAGCCAGAGCUGUUACACAGAGAAACCCUGUCUUGAAAAACAAAACAAAAAAGAGUGAGAGUCGAAUAAAGAUGUUUUCCGAUGUAUGAGGUGCAAAGACUUUACCUCCUAAGCUCUCUUUAGAAGUGAGUGAAGGAUGAUGUUCUCUACCAAAAGCAGUGAGUAGAUGAGAAAAAAGAAGCUGGGAUAUAGGAAGCCCAGAAGAACUGACAGAGAGGCCGAGGCAAUCUCCCAUCAAGGGUGACUCUGGAGGACACGGGGCCAACUGAUGAAGAGGAAGAUGACCCCAAAGUCUUGAGAAAUGUAAGCAGAUGAAAAUGACAAGAUAACUAAUAUGAAUGCAGACAUUGGGUGGAGUUUUAUACAGCUGGAAGAGGGUAAGUUGAGUCAAUGACCAAUUAUUUUCUAAAAAUCACCCAUUUGUUUUAUAACAACUAAAACAAAACUUGUGCAGAAAAGGAACAAACAGCUAUAGCAAUAUAUGGUUAGACUGUUGAGUCUUACGACAUCACCAGUAAUUAAACCAGGGGUUCUCAGGUUUCCCAAUGCUUCAACCCUGUAACACAGCUCCCCAUAUCGUGGUGACCCCCAACCAUAAAAUUAUUUUCGUUACUACUUCAUAACUGUGACUUUGCUACUGUUUAUGAAUUGUAAUGUAGAUAUCCUUGUUUUCCAGUGGUCCUGGGUGAUCCCUGUGAAAGGGUCGGUCAACCCCAAGGGGGUCGUGACCCACAGGUUGAGAAUUCCUGAUUUAAAGUAUUCUGUAUACAUUGGGACUGAACCUAGAGCCUCACGCAUGCUUAGACAAGCAGGGUAGACACUAACUACAUCCUCAUCCUUCUUUGAAGGCUACCACACUUCUUUUUAUUUAUUUUUCUUUCUUUUUUCUGGGGUAGAGGGAGGUGGAUAAGUCUCACAAAGUUUUGCCUGCUUCGUCUUGAAUUCAUUCUGUAGCCCAGGAGGCAGACCUGGACUUAGUGAUCUUUCUUCCUCAGCCUCCUGAAUAACUGGGGUUAUAGACCUGUAUUACCUGCAUGGUUUCAUUUCAAAUACUAAAAGAGGUAUUAUUUCAGAGCUGAGGAGAAUGCUUGCCUCGCAGUCAUAAGGAACGUCAUUCAGUCCCUAGAAUCCAUGUAAAAAUGGGCAUGGUGGCAGGCUUAUAACUCCAGUACUGGGAGGGCAGAGAUAAAGGGUUCCUGGGGCUUGCUAGACUAUCCUAAUUAGUGAGCUCCAGGCCAAUGAGAGACACUACGUCAGAUGAGGUGGAUGGUUUUUGUUUCGUGGUUUGUUUUUUUUUUUGGCAGGGGGCGGGGGGUUUCAAGACAGAGUUUCUCUGUGUAGUUUUUUUGGUGCCUGUCCUGGAUCUCGCUCUAUAGACCAGGCUGGCCUCGAACUCACAGAGAUCUGCCUGGCUCUGCCUCCUGAGUGCUGGGAUUAAAGGCGUAAGACACCAUGCCCGGCCAUGUGGAUGGUAUUCUUGAGUGACAGCUCCCAAGUUUGUUCUCUGGCUUCCACACAUGGACACACAUGUGCAUGCACAUCCCCAAACACACACACUUACAAAAUAAAACAUCUUUUAAAACAGC